UCUAGGAUGGCUGCAGCUGGGGCAAGUUGGCUGUGUUCCAACAUGUCCCUCCUCCUCUCGCUUGGAAAAAUUCUCAUGUCAGUGGAGGGGGUGCAAGAACACAAGUGGAGAUAUGCAAGCAUCAUUUCAAGUCUCUGCUUGCCUUUUCAUGACUCCACUAAUUUCUUCGGCCAAAGCAACUCACGUGGCCAGCCCCAGAUCAGAAUGAAGGGCACUCAACCAUUAAUGCAACUGAUCUACCACUGUGAGGAGGAGGCACAGCAUUGCACAGUAAGAAGUUCGAGGAGGAGAAAGGAAAUCAAAUAAGCCAAAUUAUGCCAUGUCAUUUUAACCUCUAAACUUUGAGGAGUGGAAUUCACCGAUUCAUCACUUAGGUACAACAGCCAGGGCUCAUCAGAAAUGCUCUCCUUGGCACCCACCACCCAUCUGGCACAUCUCCCACCAUUUCCCUCCAUCAAUCCUGUUUGUUCUCUUUGCUGUGAGUCUCCUGUGAUUUGUUUCCUUCUCUUCUCAAGUACAAUACAACAACAUCUAAAUUCAAGAAGUCCAAAUUGGCUUGGUCAAGGUGUGCCACUCUCCAGGCAAGUACCUUUUCUUUCCAUACAGCAAGGAAAUCCCAAAUGUUGUUUUACCUGAUGAUCUUUAUUAGAGGAAGCAUGUUUUCUUAAUCCCAGAGACAACAGUAACUUCAUUAACCUGUGGGUGGAGAAACGUAAGAGUUACAAAAGUCAUACGGAGUAAACCAAAGAACAUGCCAGAGGUUGACAAAUCGGACCAGCUGUGGGGUUUUCUUUCCCACACUCGGUGGCAUGAAGAACUGCCUCCUAAGGAGUAACUCUGUCUUCUUGUGGGAACCGUCUAUUUGCUAUUAAAAUGUCUAACGAUUAA
Suricata suricatta (meerkat) is the source of this 888-nucleotide long non-coding RNA. RefSeq lists it as uncharacterized. Lineage: Eukaryota; Metazoa; Chordata; Mammalia; Carnivora; Herpestidae. The transcript has 2 exons. The record is from RefSeq and is a predicted model, not a curated record.